UGGCUCAGUUGGUAGGGCAUGGUGUUUGCAAUGCCAGGGUUGUGGGUUCGAUUCCCAU
Molecule: non-coding RNA, 58 nt
Organism: Salmo salar (Atlantic salmon)
Lineage: Eukaryota; Metazoa; Chordata; Actinopteri; Salmoniformes; Salmonidae
Source: Rfam